Molecule: microRNA, 20 nt
Filed under: Eptesicus fuscus (big brown bat)
Lineage: Eukaryota; Metazoa; Chordata; Mammalia; Chiroptera; Vespertilionidae
Description: efu-miR-9229e
Source: miRBase by way of RNAcentral
UCACUGAGUCUGCCCUUUGA